ACAAAUUGCAAAUUAUUUUUGUUAAGGUCUGGUUACAGAUACAAAGCAAAAAACUAUGUGUAAAACUCCACGCUCCAGUUCCCUGGCUGUGUGUGACUUUCAACUUGCAAGUAUGAAGUUUGACCCAAUUUUUCUUCCUUUCAUGUGAUUGGUCAAUGUCAUAUCAAUCCAAAUUUUAACAAUCCAAUCAGAGAACAGAUGGGCGUGGCUGUUGGAGGAGUGCUUUACUGAGCUUCAGGUCCUGAAAGGGUUUACGUGCUUAUGCAGGGACCUCCAGUGCCUUUUCAACGGCUCUGUGGACCUCGGACCUCGUGUUGUGUAAAUGACACACUCUUCACUAGCCAGGAUAGUUACAAAGCUUUCUCGUUAUGAAUGAGAGAUACAUGUUUUUAUUGAACAUUUGAACAUAAUACAGCACAAACUCUUUUAGAGUCCAGAGUUUUACACUAACUGAAAAAAUUGUGUCCCGCCGGGAGGUUGAGGAGGAUGAUCACACACACACCUGCAGCUGAUCAGCUUUGUCUGGGAGAGCUACUUAGAAGAGUGGCUGAGUUCUCGUCAACGCUAGAUCGUUGCGCGGCUGCCUCUGUGAUUUUCCAGGAGGAUUGGGCAGUGAGCACUAGGUACAUGGACACGGACACUGGGAAAGAUACGGUGCGGGAGUCCGUGACGCUCACUCACCUGGAGUGUGCACGGGGGUUCAUCGAUGUAUUGUGAUUUACCUCACUGUAAAUAAAAGCACUGCAUUCAUUA
Oreochromis niloticus (Nile tilapia) is the source of this 753-nucleotide long non-coding RNA. RefSeq lists it as uncharacterized. The transcript has 2 exons. Lineage: Eukaryota; Metazoa; Chordata; Actinopteri; Cichliformes; Cichlidae. The record is from RefSeq and is a predicted model, not a curated record.